Molecule: non-coding RNA, 29 nt
Filed under: Mus musculus (house mouse)
Lineage: Eukaryota; Metazoa; Chordata; Mammalia; Rodentia; Muridae
Source: RNAcentral
UAUCAUAUGAAAAAUGCUUUGGUGUGCUG